AGAGCAACGGUAGCACAGGGUUUCCGCACCAGCUGGCGCACCUCUGCUGUGACUGUAUCCAGGGCAUCCCGUCUCCUUGCUUCUUCCUUAAUGAGGACAGACAUUGGCCAUAGAGUUCACUGAGCAGCAGGUGGCUGCUGACAGUAGCAGAGACUGAAAGCGGAACCAGGGAGUAGUGUAAAGUUUUUGGAAGAGUGAAUUGAGGAUUUUAGCUCUCUACAAGCAACAGCAGUAGCUAUGAAGCAGGGGGGAUGGUCCAGUCUUACUCCCCGCAGAAAUAUCAUCCAUGGCAACAUGUCCCCAAAACAUUUGAGGAGGGAACACUUUGUAACUAAUAGGAUAUCAAGGGAGCACCAGAAAUAACAUUGGUAAACUAUAUCUGCUGGAUUAACAUUUUAAACAAUGAAUGCCUAGGAGCAUCACACAGAGCGCGUUUUCCCAGAAAUGCACAUUGGGAUUUAAGGAGGAUCUGGCUGCAGUUAGCUAUCAUCCCAUUGAUCACCAUGCUUAAUUCAGCUGCUUUAGAUGACCGGGUGAGUGUGCCCUUCAUCUGCCAUUCCUUGUGCAUCUUCUUCCUGAAACAGAUUGCUCAGUUGAUGAAGACAACCUUUGUUGGUAGGGGAAGGCCAUUCUGUCAUCAGUAAAAAGCAGCUGUGCUCUCCUGCUAGAAUCUCCAAAGAAACCCACAAGAAAUGCACUGAGCUGUGCUUUCAUAAGUGAUGGGCAGCUGUGACAUGUUGAUACUAUGAGACUAUGAUACUAAGUAAUACUGUAGCUCAUUGAGUUACAUUUUGUGCUGUAUGUGUAGACAUUACUUGGAUCAACGAGGCUGAGUUGUAGGCAAAGCUCUCCCAGAGAGCAGGGAAACUCUUUGUCAGUGGGCGCUCCCAUUUUCCUUACUUCUCUGUCAAUGUCUGUAAGUAGCAGUUCCCACUCAGAGCACAUCCAGGCUGUUCUUGGUCCAGGAUGGCUUCCGGAGAAGACCAGAAAUGUCAUGAUGGGGGGGGGGGGGGCUAGAUGUUUCUGUCCUUGGUUGUAUUGAAUGCUGUGAUCUCACAGAAGCAAUGAGAUUUUCAUUAGCCUAAUCAAUAAUGCAGUUUGGAAGAGUAAGAACUCAUUCCCUUGGCAGCAGGGCAGAAGGCACCUGCUGUACAGAGAAGACCUAGGGAGCAAGCCAGUGCCCUCCACAGCCUCUACAUCAGCUUCUGUUUCCAAAUUCCUAUGCUGUUUGAGUUCCUGUCUUGAACUGCUUCAAUGAUGAACAGUGAUAUGGAAGUGUAAGCCAAAUAAACCCUUUCCUCCCCAAGUUGCUUUGGUCCCGGUGUUCCAUCACAGCAAUAGUAACCUUAACUUAGAAAUUAUCUUAAUUCUCUUUAAAGAAAAUAAUGAAAUUAAACAACCCCUAUAUCAACACUUUGUUGCUUUAAGAAAAACUUUAAAACUAUCUUUAUCAACGCCAGCAUGCAGGUCUAAGGUAGUCAGUGCACUUAGCUUAACUUAAGAAAGGUAAAUUGCAUAUUCAAUAUGAAAGUUUUGAAUAAAAAAUGUAUUGAUAAAAAUAGAAACCAUUUCACUGUUCAUACUCCUUUUGUUAAAAAAAAAAAGGGGGAGGGGGACCAGAAGUCAGUAAGGGUGCACUGUGGCUAUCUUAAAGUUUCCUACUAACUCUUAAUACAAACAUUUCAAGAGGUUAUUUUUCAGGGCUAUUUUUUAUUUAUUUAUUUAUUUUGGACACAGUUGCCCUUUAAGGGAAGUUAAAAGGACUGUCAGUCAAUCUGCCAGUCUCUCCUGAGCAUGUAAAUGUGUCUCUGCCAUGCUGUGAUUCUCACCAGGAAAGAACUGCAGGAGAGGACGGACAAUACAGAAGCAAACCAAACCUUUGUGUCACUGGAAGCUCCAGUCUGCUUCCUUUGCUUCCGUUGCUCUUUUCUAAUUUUUGUUUGUUUGUUUGUUUAAAAAAAAAACUUUUUAUUGACUCUUUGAGAAUUUCACAUCAUGUUCCCCAGUCCCACUCAGCUUCCCAUCCCUUUAUAUCCACCCUCUGCUCUUGCAACCUCUCCCCC
This 2063-nucleotide long non-coding RNA is filed under the name Mus musculus (house mouse). RNAcentral describes it as "predicted gene, 22219". The stretch from base 463 to 781 matches the Rfam family "7SK RNA". Lineage: Eukaryota; Metazoa; Chordata; Mammalia; Rodentia; Muridae. The record is from RNAcentral.